This 1075-nucleotide long non-coding RNA is filed under the name Coturnix japonica (Japanese quail). RNAcentral describes it as "lncRNA (ENSCJPG00005018094.1)". Lineage: Eukaryota; Metazoa; Chordata; Aves; Galliformes; Phasianidae. The record is from RNAcentral.
CUGAUCUUGUAGUCAGCUGUUAGAACAUUAGAGCCCUUUUCUCCUUCCCUUUCAUUCAGUGGUAUCACAGGAUGAGAAGCUGGGCUCAGAACUGCUUCAACAUAUGGCAUGGUUGGAAGAAAUAUUUUCUAUGGAAUUAGGUGGAGGACGACGAUAUUCCAGAAACUUCAUCUUGCUGGUUUCCACUUCUUCAGCCCUGAAAGAGGGCCCUGGAUGGAAACUGAGCAGCUGGAGGGUUCUUUGUGAAAUCCUGAGAAGAAUGUGGGGAGGCUGUCAAGGAGUGGAAGUCCUCACAUCUCUAGUGAGAACACUCAGCCGUGCUCUGGGGCUCAGCUCCUGGCAAAGCAGUGGCAGACCGAGUCCACACGAUGCUCUGCUCUCCAUGGGAUCUCCAAGGAUGGGCUCAGCUCUCACUGGGUAUCAGCACCGAGAGCUGUAGAGAAGGGUGGUGUCCCUGUGGAACCGCUGUGAUGAGUGGUGGCCCUUAGCCGGUUAUUAACUCCCACCCCCAAAUUAAUAUGAGACAGAAAUAUGUAAAAAAUACUUUCCUUUUUGCUGAGGUCACAAAAUAUGGAUUUUCUCCUCUUUACACUGCAGAGCUUCUUUCUGAUUCGGAAAUGCUUUCGUAGUCGUUAAGUUUAAAUGCCUGAGAUUUUUGAGCUGACCUGUGCCCUCCGGAGGAUACUUGCAUUUGUUUUUAACCUGUCUCUCACCUUCUUUGCUUUUGUCUGCCUGGAUCUGCUCCAUUGAGCCCUUCUGUGGAAAGAGGUAGAAAACUCUGUCCUUUGGUCUCCCAUCUGAUCCUGCUUGUUGGUGCAUUUGUCUGGCAGGGGGAUGCUGUCAUUACCUCCAACCUCACGUACUUCUACUGGUAUCAAAGUCAACAUCAGUGCUGGUGAUGCAGUGAUCUGACUCCAACAGGAGCUGAGAAAAGACAAGAGGAGUUAAAAUUAACAAUAUAAAACUCAAAGUGAACACAAAAGUGGUAUGGGAAUGCAGGUACAGAGCCAUAAGGGGAGCAAGGUGGGUGAGGUAAAAAUGGGGAUGAAAAAUAAAUGGGUGACCCAAUGAUUCA